RNAcentral lists this ribosomal RNA (2510 nucleotides) under Clostridium perfringens. RNAcentral describes it as "bacterial LSU rRNA". It matches the Rfam family "Bacterial large subunit ribosomal RNA", at positions 403 to 2925 of the family's 2925-position model. Lineage: Bacteria; Bacillati; Bacillota; Clostridia; Eubacteriales; Clostridiaceae. The record is from RNAcentral.
UGAUCCAGAGUACCACGAGACACGUGAAACCUUGUGGGAAGCAGGGAGGACCACCUCCCAAGGCUAAAUACUACCUGAUGACCGAUAGUGAAGCAGUACCGUGAGGGAAAGGUGAAAAGAACCCCGGGAGGGGAGUGAAAUAGAACCUGAAACCGUGUGCCUACAACCGCUCAGAGCCCCUUAUGAGGGUGAUGAGGUGCUUUUUGUAGAACGAGCCAACGAGUUACGGUAUGUAGCAAGGUUAAGUACUUAAGGUACGGAGCCGAAGGGAAACCGAGUCUGAAUAGGGCGACUAGUUGCAUGCCGUAGACCCGAAACCGGGUGACCUAUCCAUGGCCAGGUUGAAGCGAGGGUAAAACCUCGUGGAGGACCGAACCACGUUGCUGUUGAAAAAGCAUGGGAUGAGCUGUGGAUAGCGGAGAAAUUCCAAUCGAACCCGGAGAUAGCUGGUUCUCUCCGAAAUAGCUUUAGGGCUAGCGUCGAGUAUGAGUAGUGGAGGUAGAGCACUGAAUGGGCUAGGGGGCAUAGCGCUUACCGAACCUUAUCAAACUCCGAAUGCCACAUACUUUGAGCUCGGCAGUCAGACUACGAAUGAUAAGAUCCGUGGUCAAAAGGGAAACAGCCCAGAUCGUCAGCUAAGGUCCCAAAGUGUAAGUUAAGUGGGAAAGGAUGUGAGAUUUCUAAGACAACUAGGAUGUUGGCUUAGAAGCAGCCAUUCAUUAAAAGAGUGCGUAAUAGCUCACUAGUCGAGAGAUCUUGCGCCGAAAAUGUAACGGGGCUAAACUUACCACCGAAGCUACGGGCUUGAACUUAGUUCAAGCGGUAGGAGAGCGUCGUAACCGGGCUGAAGUCGUACCGUAAGGAGCGGUGGACUGGUUACGAGUGAGAAUGUUGGCAUCAGUAGCGAGAUGUGGGUGAGAAUCCCACAGGCCGAAAACCUAAGGUUUCCUCAGGAAGGUUCGUCCGCUGAGGGUUAGUCGGGACCUAAGCCGAGGCCGAAAGGCGUAGGUGAUGGACAACUGGUUGAUAUUCCAGUACCACUACCAUCGUUAUUAUCGAUGGCGUGACGCAGGAGGAUAGUGUGUGCUAGCUAUUGGAUGCUAGUCUAAGCGUUUAGGCAGUGAGAGUAGGCAAAUCCGCUCUCAUAAUGCUGAGGCGUGAUGGGGAAGGUUCUACGGAACCGAAGUACAUGAUUCCACGCUGCCAAGAAAAGCGUCUAGAGAGAGAAGUAGUGCCCGUACCGCAAACCGACACAGGUAGGUGAGGAGAGAAUCCUAAGGCCGGCGGAAGAAUUACAGUUAAGGAACUCGGCAAAUUGACCCCGUAAGUUCGCGAGAAGGGGUGCCUACGAGAGUAGGCCGCAGAGAAUAGGCCCAAGCAACUGUUUAGCAAAAACACAGGUCUCUGCUAAAGCGUAAGCUGAUGUAUAGGGGCUGACGCCUGCCCGGUGCUGGAAGGUUAAGGGGAACACUUAGCGCAAGCGAAGGUGUGAACUUAAGCCCCAGUAAACGGCGGCCGUAACUAUAACGGUCCUAAGGUAGCGAAAUUCCUUGUCAGGUAAGUUCUGACCCGCACGAAUGGCGUAAUGACUUGGGCACUGUCUCAACUGUAAAUCCGGCGAAGUUGUAGUGCGAGUGAAGAUGCUCGCUACCCGCGAUUGGACGGAAAGACCCCGUAGAGCUUUACUGUAGCUUAGCAUUGAGUUUUGGUAUUGUCUGUACAGGAUAGGUGGGAGACUAGGAAACCAGGGCGUCAGCCUUGGUGGAGUCAACCUUGGGAUACCACCCUGACAGUACUGAAAUUCUAACUGGCGGCCAUGAAUCUGGUCACAGGACAUUGUUAGGUGGGCAGUUUGACUGGGGCGGUCGCCUCCUAAAAAGUAACGGAGGCGCCCAAAGGUUCCCUCAGAACGGUCGGAAAUCGUUCGAAGAGUGCAAAGGCAGAAGGGAGCCUGACUGCGACACCCACAAGUGGAGCAGGGACGAAAGUCGGGCUUAGUGAUCCGGUGGUACCUCGUGGGAGGGCCAUCGCUCAACGGAUAAAAGCUACCUCGGGGAUAACAGGCUGAUCUCCCCCAAGAGUCCACAUCGACGGGGAGGUUUGGCACCUCGAUGUCGGCUCGUCGCAUCCUGGGGCUGAAGUAGGUCCCAAGGGUUGGGCUGUUCGCCCAUUAAAGCGGCACGCGAGCUGGGUUCAGAACGUCGUGAGACAGUUCGGUCCCUAUCCGUCGCGGGCGUAGGAAAUUUGAGAGGAGCUGUCCUUAGUACGAGAGGACCGGGAUGGACUGACCUCUGGUGUACCAGUUGUUCCGCCAGGAGCACAGCUGGGUAGCUAAGUCGGGAAUGGAUAAACGCUGAAAGCAUCUAAGCGUGAAGCCAACCUCAAGAUGAGAUUUCCCAUAGCGUAAGCUAGUAAGAUCCCUUGAAGAACACAAGGUUGAUAGGUCGGGGGUGUAAGCAUGGUAACAUGUUCAGCUGACCGAUACUAAUAGAUCGAGGGCUUGACCAAAU